RNAcentral lists this long non-coding RNA (2244 nucleotides) under Canis lupus familiaris (dog). Its description in RNAcentral is "lncRNA (ENSCAFG00000058733.1)". The record is from RNAcentral. Lineage: Eukaryota; Metazoa; Chordata; Mammalia; Carnivora; Canidae.
GAAUUUUUUUAAAUCUUUGGCACUUUUACAGAUUACACUCUAUAUUGUAGAAACCUCCCCAAUUAAAAAAAAGAAAGAAAGAAACCUCCCCAAUUACAUGACUCCCUUCAUACUAGGAAGGAAUUGUCAAAAAGGUAGGAGAAGACCAAGUUCAAGUAGUACCAUAGAAUUCUAGGGAAGGUACCCUCAGAGAGAGAGGGUUCAGUAGUGUUCAUUGCUGCAGAUGAAGACUAAGAAAAGAAAGAACAUAGGCUUUGACUUAUGAAGGCUUCAGCAUUGUUUUUUCAUCCUUUCCCCAUUUCUGACAAAUUUUCCUGAUUCUUCUCUAUCUUUAGCAUUAGGGCUCUUUCCACUCCCCAUUGAGAGAAUCGCCACUAUCCCACUAUCUUAAGACAAGCCUGAAGAAGUAGGAUCAUGGAGCUCCAAGGAAGACUUCCUCAAGAACCUUAAUUUCCUUCUCCUGUCUUCAGUUGGAGAAGUCUUGUACCUAGAAAUUUCACUAACAUCUUGCACGAUGAAACUUGAAAGUGGUAGAACAUGAGGAGACGCUUCCUUAAAUCCUUAAACCACACCCUGAAAAUUCUGGAGGCCACGCUUAGAGGCACUAACUGCACAACAGUCUCAUGGCCCACUGUCACAUCACGGGCAGCAAGUUCAGUGCACCUGCUCUGGAUUCCUGGCAGAAGAAUCUAAGGACGCAGAACAAGGCUAAACGAAAUUAUGCCAACCCCGCGGUGCUGUUUUCCUUAUACUGUAUGGAAGAGAGCAAGUCACAGAUGGCACUGGUCACCAUCCCAUGAUGGAUCACCUGGCCCCUGAGUAGGUAGUUAGGUAUAGAAUCCUCAUUAUCUGACUUCUGGCUCGAUGUCCUUUUCACGGUUACAGUGUCUGCCGCAAGAAGAAAAGGAAAAUAGGUAUACAGAAAACAGAGAAGCGGCUACUUACACAUGUCAUUAGGAAGCCUAUCGAUGACUUUGAAAUUGGCUCAUAAAGGGAAAAACAGAGACUGUCCUAAUAAACUCAGUGCCUGAUGAGCAUAACUAAAUCUUUUUGCAGCCUUGGGAUUUCUAUAGUUUAAUCCUUUGUGAAAUAAAAUACACCACAAUGGCUGUAACACACCACUUUGUGACAAUCUUACCUUUGAGAAAAUACUACAUAUGUCUUUAUAAAAAUAAUUCUGGAAUACCUCUUAGUACCUGUAUGCUAGUAUUAAAAGUCAAGGUCUAUAUAUUCACAUUUUCAUGAAUAUGAAUAUCAAAUAUUUAUUGACCUGUAUUAAUUUAAUAAUGUAAAAGAUGAUGCUCUAAGAUCCUGGUAUCCUCUUUUAUCCCCACUCAAUCUGAAGCAAUACCAGAAGGAAAUUCCACUUGACAUUCUUUAAUAUAUUCAAAACAUAAAAUAAAGAAGGCAAUGAAAAUAUAGUAAACAGUAGACUCCUUUCAUUUAGAAGGGAAGGAAGAAACAUAGAGCCUGAAAGAAUCUGUGGUUGUUCUAUGAGAACUAGUCUUAGGAAAAAAAAAAAAAAAUCAACCUGGUAAGACAUAUUUACUUUCUGCAGCAUUCCUACUUGAUUGCUGACAUUCCACAAUCUCAUGAUAUUUUGAAUGCAUUAUACUCAUUCUGUUUGAAAAAGAAAUUAACAUGUAUUUAAAUAGUGCAGUUUUGUGAGGGAGAGGAACCGUGCCCAUGUGUGUUAAGCUAAUGACACUGGGUGCAGAAUGAGUCAUCGUGGUUUUUAUUUAUUCAUUCAUCCUCAGAUCCUUUUAAAAGUCUCCAAGGCCCUAAUGACCAUCAUCAUUAUCAUCAGUAAAAACUGCUUUCUGGUGAAAAGGCAAUCGGCAUUAAAUUUAGAGGCAGCAUUAAAUUAUCAGUAAAGAGGACCUGAAAUAGUACUGCACACACAACCCUGGACACAAGAUGCCGGAAAUUCGUAGAGCGCCAGUCAGGCAGUCUUCCUGAUUAAGUUUGUGACCGAGAUGUACUCUUGUCCUUUACAAGGCAAUAUCAUUUAGCUCAGGAGAAAAUAAAGUACAGGCCAGUUUCUACACUCCCGUGUUGAAGGUUAUUAAGUCAAAGAUAGCAGUCAUAACAAAGUCCUCAAUUAUGAAUCAAGUUUUAAGAAUUAUCAGCAUCAAAACUUUAUUCCAAGCAUUUCUCCUCCCUUAGAGUUUCUUGCAUGUAAUAAAGAAAGACUGGCUAGUGAGUGGGUGAGAAAAUAUCAGUGGGAAAUAUUUUGAAUUAAAC